GAACGGGUGAGUAAUAUAUCGGAACGUGCCCAGUCGUGGGGGAUAACGUAGCGAAAGUUACGCUAAUACCGCAUACGAUCUAAGGAUGAAAGCGGGGGAUCGCAAGACCUCGCGCGAUUGGAGCGGCCGAUAUCAGAUUAGGUUGUUGGUGAGGUAAAAGCUCACCAAGCCGACGAUCUGUAGCUGGUCUGAGAGGACGACCAGCCACACUGGAACUGAGACACGGUCCAGACUCC
RNAcentral lists this ribosomal RNA (236 nucleotides) under uncultured bacterium. Its description in RNAcentral is "partial 16S ribosomal RNA". It matches the Rfam family "Bacterial small subunit ribosomal RNA", at positions 100 to 339 of the family's 1533-position model. The record is from RNAcentral.